RNAcentral lists this small nuclear RNA (318 nucleotides) under Pteropus vampyrus (large flying fox). RNAcentral describes it as "7SK RNA (ENSPVAG00000026259.1)". It matches the Rfam family "7SK RNA". Rfam says of the family: 7SK was discovered as an abundant small nuclear RNA in the mid-70s but a possible function has only recently been suggested. Two independent studies have found that 7SK RNA binds the CDK9/cyclin T complex (known as elongation factor P-TEFb). P-TEFb activates transcription by phosphorylating the C-terminal domain of RNA polymerase II. The record is from RNAcentral. Lineage: Eukaryota; Metazoa; Chordata; Mammalia; Chiroptera; Pteropodidae.
GGAUGUGAGGGCGAUCUGGCUGCGACAUCUGUCACCCCAUUGAUCGCCAGGUUGAUUUGGCUGAUCUGGCCGGCUAGGCAGGUGUCCCCUUCCUCCCUCACCACUCCAUGCGUGUCCCUCCCGAAGCUGCGCGCUCGGUGGAAGAGGACAACCUUCCCCGAUAGAGCUGAGGACCGGUCUUUGGUCAAGGGUAUUUAGCUGCGCUCCCCUGCUAGAACCUCCAAACAAGCUCUCAAGAAAGACUGACUUGGCAGUAUUCUUAUUAAGCCUAGUUUAUCAGUCUAAGGACACACUGAGAUAAGAAAACAUUCUUUAGCU